Molecule: microRNA precursor, 99 nt
Filed under: Canis lupus familiaris (dog)
Lineage: Eukaryota; Metazoa; Chordata; Mammalia; Carnivora; Canidae
Also listed under: 1 other name
Description: mir-8834 microRNA precursor family
Rfam family: mir-8834 microRNA precursor family
Source: Rfam by way of RNAcentral
AGGAGGAACAACCGCAGUGGCUGCUCUGGAAACCUGGAUUCAGCCCCCGAAGUAACUCCGGAGCUCUCCCUCUGCACGGCCUGGAGGCUCCGAGGGCUG